GUCGGGUGCAGUGGCGCGCGCCUGUAAUCCAAGCUGCUGGGAGGCUGAGGCUGGCGGAUCGCUUGAGUUCAGGGGUUCUGGGCUGCAGUGGACUAUGUCGAUCGGGUGUCCGCACUAAGUUCGGUAUCGAUAUGGUGCUCCUGGGGGAGCUCGGGACCACCAGGUCGUCUAAGGAGGGGUGAACCGGCCCAGGUCGGAGACGGAGCAGGUCAAAGCCCCCGUGUCGAUCAGUAGUGGGGUCGCGCCUGUGAAUAGACACUGCAGUGUAGCCUGAGCGAUACAGCGAGACUCAGACUUU
RNAcentral lists this signal recognition particle RNA (298 nucleotides) under Sinocyclocheilus rhinocerous. RNAcentral's name for it is "Metazoan signal recognition particle RNA (ENSSRHG00000023938.1)". It matches the Rfam family "Metazoan signal recognition particle RNA". From Rfam's summary of the family: The signal recognition particle (SRP) is a universally conserved ribonucleoprotein. It is involved in the co-translational targeting of proteins to membranes. The record is from RNAcentral. Lineage: Eukaryota; Metazoa; Chordata; Actinopteri; Cypriniformes; Cyprinidae.